RNAcentral lists this unclassified non-coding RNA (217 nucleotides) under plant metagenome. Its description in RNAcentral is "partial contains small subunit ribosomal RNA, internal transcribed spacer 1, and 5.8S ribosomal RNA". The stretch from base 169 to 217 matches the Rfam family "5.8S ribosomal RNA", at positions 1 to 49 of the family's 154-position model. The record is from RNAcentral.
UUUCCGUUGGUGAACCAGCGGAGGGAUCAUUACCGAGUCCAAACUCAUAACCCUUUGUGAACCUAUAUCUGUUGCUUCGGCGGCUCGCUCUCGGGCGAGCCCGCCGGUAAUAUCAGUAUCUCUGUUUGAACCCGACGAUACUUCUGAGUGUUCUUAGCGAACAGUUAAAACUUUUAACAACGGAUCUCUUGGCUCUAGCAUCGAUGGAGAACGCAGC